Molecule: long non-coding RNA, 2503 nt
Filed under: Xyrichtys novacula (pearly razorfish)
Lineage: Eukaryota; Metazoa; Chordata; Actinopteri; Labriformes; Labridae
Source: RNAcentral
UUCAUCUUCCAGGCUUUCUCUAGCUCCUCUUGAGCCCUUCGUACUUUUCUCGUUUCUCGUAUUCCUUCUUCCUGAUGUUGGUAUCGCUUGGGAUGGUAACAUUUACCACAAUGGCUUUCCUUUGCUGUUUGUUUACGAUCACAAUGUCCGGUUGGUCGGCCAUUACCAUUUUGUCAAUCUGUAUCUGGAAGACCCACACGAUCUUUACUGCUUCAAGGUUCUGGUGUUUCCCAUUUUGACCUCAGGGUUUCCAGUCCAUAUUCUGCACAGACAUUCCUGUACACCAUACCGACUACUUGGUUAUGGCGUUCCAUGUAUGCUUUUCCUGCCAGCAUCUUACAUCCUGCUGUUAGGUGGUGGACUGUUUCAGAGCCCUCUUUGCACAGCCUGCACCUGGGAUCUUGCCUGGUAUGGUAGAUCUGGGCCUCUGUUGCUCUGGUGCUCAAGGCCUGUUCUUGUGCCGCCAUGAUGAGUGCCUCUGUGCUGUCCUUCAGUCCAGCCCUCUCCAGCCAUUGGUAGGAUUUGCUCGUAUCAGCCACUUCAGCUAUCUGUCGGUGGAAUACCCCAUGCAGGGGUUUUUCCUUCCAUAAUGGUUCCUCUGGUUCCUCCUCCCCUGUCGAUUUCCAUUGUCUGAGACACUCACUAAGUGCACCAUCUCAUAGGGACAUCUUCCUGACAUAGUCAUGGAGCUUGGAUGUUUUAUCUUGGAUAGUGGCACUGAUGCUCACUAACCCCCUGCCUUGUUUUUUGCGCUUAGUGCAUAGCCUUUGGAUACUGGACUUGGGGUGUAACCCCCUGUGCAUGGUGAGCAACUUCUGAGUUUUAACAUCUGUGGCCUGAAUUUCCUCCUUUGGCCAGCUUAUUAUUCCAACUGGAUAUCUGAUCAUUAGCUGGCAUAGCUGUUAAUUGCCUGAAUUUUGUUUCUGCCAUUGAGCUGAUUCUUUGGAACGUGCCUUACUCGACUGUCCUGCCUUGGGUCAGCCAUUUUGGGUGGGUCCCAUCUCUCAGCAGUUGGUUCCUUGGUGCUGUCAGGCAGUCAUGGAGUGAGUCCAUGACUGGCUACAGAGUCCAGCCUCUUUAGCCAGUAGGUGUUUUUUGAAAUUAAGUUAAACUACCAAAGCAAUGAAUAAUACUAGCAUAAAUUUCUGUCCAGACUUUUUCUGAAGUGGCAAAACUGGGGCACAAACUUGAAGGGUUGGCAUGGCCAACAGACAGAUAGUUCGGGUUCCUGCAAGACAGCCUUGCUUGCAACCUCAGGGUCAUGAGGCUGCAUGAGCAGGCCAACCUAGAUUAUUUGUAGCUCCUUACUAAAACAUAAUUACUCUAUAUUUCUUAACCUAAAUGUAUGAAGAGAUUCUCCUACAAGGCUCACCCCAAACCAAGGAGGGUCAUCUCCAUCAAUCAUUUUUACUUUUACCAGUAGAAAAGCUUCAAUUAUGUUUUAUCCACCUCACUUGUGGGGGCACUAGUGUGUUAGUGACUAAUCAUUACUAGCCACUACCUUGUUUUUCAUGUAUGCUUAGUUCUUAUUGAGUGUUACUUAUUUGAAAUGUAGUUCUGGUAAGUGUUACGCCAUCCACUGUUGUGCUAACAACCAGAUAAGAUUGAAUUUAUGGCUUGAUUAGCACCCCAAAAAAGGGAGUGUUUCUGUGACCCAUGCUACUGUCUCCAUUGUCUGCCUUUUGAUGACCAAACAAAAAGAUUGUGGUUGAAAAACCUAAACCUGAAGAAAUCACCAAAGACUGUGUCCAGUUUAAGGUAUGGCAGAUGAUGUCCCCAGAUUUUUAAUAAUAAUAAUAAUACAUCAGAUUUCAUAUAGCGCUUUAUCAGAGACCCUCGAAGCGCUUCACAUUGGAUACAUCAUUCAUUCGCUCACACAGUCACACCUUGGUGGUGGUAAACUACCUUAGCAGUCACAGCUGCCCUGGGCCAGACUGAUGGAAACGUGGCUGCCAUUUUGCACCUACGGCCUCUCUGACCACCACCACACAACACUCACAAUCAUACACCAGUGGAGGACACACACUGGGAGCAAGGUGGGUUAAGUGUCUUGCCCAAAGACACAACAGACAGACUUGGGAUAGGGGGGAAUCGAACCGCCAUAUAGUUGCUCUUUUAUUCCCUUUUUUGAACAGUUAAAGAUGUAUCAGUGCUCAACUCAGCAGCACUCUGUCUCCAUGAUGUUAGAAAAAUUAUAAUGCUUUUAAGAUGCUGAAAUAACCAAUAAAAUACAUGAAAACAAAUGGUCAUUUUGUGACUCUUGAAUUGAAUUUCUUUAAUGGAUUUUCUCUAUUACUAACUGGUAUAUUUUAAUAUGACUAGAGAUGCAUCAACAUUUAAUAAAUCAGACUGCAAAUGAUGCCAAGAUAGGUGAUACAGUAAUGAAGAAUAUUUAAAAAAAAAAAGAAAAUCUGUGAGGCGAUGGGGUUCCAUAUACACACCAUUGCCUCAACCUGAUGCUCUCUCUGUGCUGCAGACUUUCUCCAUGGCCUGUUGGGGUUUG